RNAcentral lists this ribosomal RNA (253 nucleotides) under uncultured bacterium. RNAcentral's name for it is "partial 16S ribosomal RNA". It matches the Rfam family "Bacterial small subunit ribosomal RNA", at positions 524 to 776 of the family's 1533-position model. The record is from RNAcentral.
UACAGAGGGUGCAAACGUUGCUCGGAAUCAUUGGGCGUAAAGCGCGUGUAGGCGGCACGGUAAGUCAUCUGUGAAAGCCCUCGGCUCAACCGAGGAAGUGCAGCUGAAACUGCCGCGCUAGAGUGCUGAAGAGGGUGGCGGAAUGCGCAGUGUAGAGGUGAAAUUCGUAGAUAUUGCGUAGAACACCAGUGGCGAAGGCGGCCACCUGGGAAGCUACUGACGCUAAGACGCGAAAGCAUGGGGAGCAAACAGG